AAAUUGCCUCAGGUGCCUCUUGUCUUGGAGGGGAGAAUAGGAAAGCCGGGUGAGAUGCCCGCACGGUCACGCCGCUGUAAUGAGCCGCGCCGUUUUACAAGUCACUGCGAAAGCGGGAAGACAAAACGGUGUGUGAUGGCUCAAAGUCAGAAGACCUGCCUGACGCU
Molecule: non-coding RNA, 167 nt
Filed under: human gut metagenome
Source: RNAcentral